ACACUCCUACGGGAGGCAGCAGUGGGGAAUUUUGGACAAUGGGCGAAAGCCUGAUCCAGCAAUGCCGCGUGCAGGAUGAAGGCCUUCGGGUUGUAAACUGCUUUUGUACGGAACGAAAAAGCUCCUUCUAAUACAGGGGGCCCAUGACGGUACCGUAAGAAUAAGCACCGGCUAACUACGUGCCAGCAGCCGCGGUAAUACGUAGGGUGCGAGCGUUAAUCGGAAUUACUGGGCGUAAAGCGUGCGCAGGCGGUUAUGUAAGACAGAUGUGAAAUCCCCGGGCUCAACCUGGGAACUGCAUUUGUGACUGCAUGGCUAGAGUACGGUAGAGGGGGAUGGAAUUCCGCGUGUAGCAGUGAAAUGCGUAGAUAUGCGGAGGAACACCGAUGGCGAAGGCAAUCCCCUGGACCUGUACUGACGCUCAUGCACGAAAGCGUGGGGAGCAAACAGGAUUAGAACCCGUGUAGUCCCAUG
RNAcentral lists this ribosomal RNA (474 nucleotides) under uncultured organism. Its description in RNAcentral is "partial 16S ribosomal RNA". It matches the Rfam family "Bacterial small subunit ribosomal RNA", at positions 333 to 799 of the family's 1533-position model. The record is from RNAcentral.